This 68-nucleotide transfer RNA is filed under the name Halictus rubicundus. RNAcentral describes it as "tRNA-Leu". Lineage: Eukaryota; Metazoa; Arthropoda; Insecta; Hymenoptera; Halictidae. The record is from RNAcentral.
AUUAUUUUGGCAGAUUAGUGUAAUAAAUUUAGAAUUUAAUAAAGUAUAUAAUGAGUAUACAGAUAAUA